CAAACCCCUUGUCACUUAGUUGCCAGCGAUUCGGUCGGGAACUCUAAGGAGACUGCCAGGUGAUAAACCGGAGGAAGGUGGGGAUGACGUCAAGUCAUCAUGGCCCUUAUAGGGGUGGGCAUACACACGUGCUACAAUGGUCAGGUACAGUAGGGUUGCCAAGUCGCAAGGCGGAGCUAAUCCCACAAAGCCGAUCGUAGUCCGGAUUGGGUCUGCAACUCGACCCCAUGAAGUCGGAAUCGCUAGUAAUCGCNAAUCAGANAUGUCGCGGUG
Molecule: ribosomal RNA, 273 nt
Filed under: uncultured bacterium
Lineage: Bacteria
Description: partial 16S ribosomal RNA
Rfam family: Bacterial small subunit ribosomal RNA
Source: RNAcentral